Long non-coding RNA from Mustela erminea (ermine), 2692 nucleotides. RefSeq lists it as uncharacterized. The record is from RefSeq and is a predicted model, not a curated record. The transcript has 4 exons. Lineage: Eukaryota; Metazoa; Chordata; Mammalia; Carnivora; Mustelidae.
CCAACUGAGCCACCUGCCUGGGACAAUGCACCCUAGACAAUGCACUUCUAUUUUAUUCUCCCAGAGCUGAGCCUGCAGCCUCCUGCUGUUGGUCACAGUCAUGGCCACACACAACCCGCAGUUCAGAGUGUCCUUUCCUCUCCCGGGUCUUUCUCCCACUUUUCUCCCUGUCUCCAUAUUUUCCUCUAGAUUUCCCUCGAGAUUGAUCAUUGGAGAAGCUGCCUCCUGGAAUCUGAAAAUCGCAGUCCUGGGUUAAGGUUGCCACCUAGUGGCCAGUGCGAGAACCACAUUGCAGUGCCUUGCGUCUUGACUUCUUCCAACUAGGUGUGUGCAAACCCGAAGGUGAACUUGCUUCUACCCAACUGAAACAUUGGAAUUGAUCAGACGAGAAUGUUCAUCAGUUACCUCUGGACAAUGUCACACUACUUGCGGGCCACGUAUCAGCCUGCAUCGGUACCCACAGCCUGCUGGAUCCUGGGACGGCUUAUACAGGGAUGGUGGACACCCCAGGCAGCUCUCUGCUGUCUGUCCUCUCUGGGCAUUUCCUCAGCUGAAGAGAAUCAUUGAGAGCCAGGCCCUGCCUCCUUUCCAGGCAGCCCAAAGCCCUGAUUGGCUGUGGGUUUAUAAAGGCCCCAUCUCUUCUCGAAGCUUUUCCCUCUGCCCAACAGCUGCGGCUCCUGAACCAGCAUGUACGUCUGAGCUGGAAGAGCAGCCUCUCGGGACGGAAGAGUCAGACCGGGGAUGAAGGUCACCCACGCCGCGCUGAGAUCUGGAGCACCGGAGCAGGGUCCCAGAGCGCUCUCCUGACGGGCUCGGCAGGAUGAGCUGCGGGAGUUUUCGCCUUCAGAACCCCCGGAGUACAGACCUAGCCACGGCGGAAGAUGAAGUGGAGAGCAGGUGCCAAGAGCGCACUCUCCUCAGGCCGGCUGGAUUUGAUGGGACAGUCCAGGACCUUGGGAGCAAAGAGCCCAGGAGAGGACAGUCACCCCAGUGGUUACCUUUGCAUUUGUAAAGGUAGGUAUGUUUUCUCAAAGCAUUUGCAACUUGCUCAUUUGUGAUAAUGACCUUGGCUUCCCUGAAAAUUUUUCAUGGGUUUUUCCUUUUCGGUUUUUUUUUUUUUUUUGUAUUAAAUGCUUCCUUGUGUGAACAAUGAAUGUCAAAUAUGUGUUAUCAUGGUGAACAUAGGCUCAAGCAUACCCUACAGCUAUGAAAGCUAGAGCUGUUUAUAAAGUACGAGAACCUGCCUCAUGUUGUGUUAACUAAUGUUAAUUAUGAAUAAUGAUUUAACUGUGUUACAAGUGAGUUAUGGUGUUUUAGUAUAAAUGAGUUAAUUCAGGGACCAAGGAAUCCAUGAAACAUUUUCCACUAGACUCCAUGAUAUUUAGAACUUAUUAUCCAGGAUCAUAAAAUCAUACAAAUACACACAAACACACAUAUACUUAGAUCUUUAUUUUAAAAAUGUGGGGUACACACACAAAUGCUCUCUCCCCUUUUCCUCUCCCCCUCCCUCUCUCCUCUUCAUCUGAUCUGGAGGCAUUUGCUCCUACACAUUCUUUUCCAUGGAUACCAUCCAGCCAUGGUACAUUUUUACUGCAGCUUAUUCAAUCAUUCUCUUUCUGAUGGUCACUCACAUUGUUUCCUUUUUUUGUCCUUAUCAAAAAAUACAAUAUACAUUGAUAAACAUAUAAUCUUAAGUACUGGCACUUUGUCGUCUUAGGGAUAGAGUCCCAGGAGUGAGACUCCGGGACUGAAGGGUAGGUGUAUUCUUAAUGUUAAGAGUCACACUUGACACAUUUCUAACAGCGGUGUAUGAAAUGAAUCUUCUCCCCUGCUUCCUUGUUGGUAGUAGACAAGAUGACAAUUUAGAAAGACAAGAGAUUUCCUGGACUAUAGCUGUUCUGGUAAAUCUGUUCAGAAAGUCUCUCACAAUCCUACAGAUUCGCACACAUCAGUGACAUUCAGGAACAAGGAAGACACAAGGCCAGUUAUAGUUGCCAGUGACAAAUCUGGUGUGUGAUUUAUGAUAGAUCAGGAGAGAAACUUGGGAAUUUGAAAUCAAUACUAAGAUGGAGUGCCUCUGAGUUAUGCGAAAAGCUUUUUAGGUUAAUUGUUAAACAUAUGGAGAGAUCACCGAAAAGUCUAACUUCUAAGGUGUUUGUGAACCUUUAAAGGCAAGGCUUAACUUCUACUCACCUUCCGAAGGGAGAUACUUUCGGUAGGUGACCAUGAAACUCAGGGAGCGGAAAUGCCUCCUUUAGACAGAAUGUGGCAAGAAUGCAUUUCUAAAGUGUGUUGUGCACAUGGACAUUUUAAAAAGCAGUAAGACACUUACUGACAGUUUCUUACAUUUUUUCUCUAAGUCUCUAAAAUGUAACAUCUGCGAACCACAUACACAUCCUACUUUUUUGUAAGACAAUUUGUAAAAUAUUAGGAGAAAUAGGGAAACGCACAAAGAAAAGUACACGUAGUUUCUGGGUUAUACACUAUGUUGAACGACAUGCAUCUGGAGUAAACACCUGCACGGCAGCUGCACACCAGCGAUGGCGCCACGUGGGCUGGGGCACGGGGUGCCGGCCCACCGAGCUCCUGCACUCUCCCAAUCCGCUCUUGAUGGUCGCUCACUGACAUACUGAUGGGAAGAAUGCUUUCCAGCAACCCCAGAAGCAAGUUAAAACUUCAACGUUGUCUUCUG